Long non-coding RNA from Ctenopharyngodon idella (grass carp), 550 nucleotides. RefSeq lists it as uncharacterized. The transcript has 3 exons. The record is from RefSeq and is a predicted model, not a curated record. NCBI's taxonomy places the organism in Eukaryota, Metazoa, Chordata, Actinopteri, Cypriniformes, Xenocyprididae.
CACUGAACAUCAUGCAGUAUUAUGUUAAUUUACCGAUCGAUCAAUCUGCUUUGAAAGAAUAACCAGUAGAUAUCAAAUGUUUCAUAUUUCAGGAAGCUAAGGGUCACCUUCGAUUGAUAGUUUAGUUUCGCUUUUAUUUUUUUUAAUAAAACUCGCUGAAGAAGAUGUCGUCCUGAGGUUUACAAAGUUUUGACGGCUGAACAUGAAAUUCAUUAACUUUUACAAUGUUCAGAUGCUUGAAUCUGCUGCUGCUGUUGUGUUUGAUACAUUAUAUCGAAUCCUCUGGAAACACUCCUCGAUCUGUGACGGGGCAACAAGGAGGCAGCGUCACCCUGCUGUGUGACUUUGAGGCCAGAAACAUUUCAGAUAUAGUUUUAAAGUCGAUUUUCAAAAAACAUCCUUGUUUGUCAGACUGAAGAAUGUAAGAGUGAAAAUGACAGAGUGUUUAAAGAAGGAUCAUGUGACAUCAUCAUCAAGGAUCUGAUCUUCAGUGACGCUGGGAAAUACCUUCUGAGAGUCUAUUACACUAAUGAUCAGAGAGUAGAGAGGG